UGCGAUGAGAGCCAUUGCCUGGGCUGCCU
This 29-nucleotide non-coding RNA is filed under the name Rattus norvegicus (Norway rat). The record is from RNAcentral. Lineage: Eukaryota; Metazoa; Chordata; Mammalia; Rodentia; Muridae.